RNAcentral lists this ribosomal RNA (515 nucleotides) under bacterium symbiont of Megymenum gracilicorne. RNAcentral describes it as "bacterial SSU rRNA". It matches the Rfam family "Bacterial small subunit ribosomal RNA", at positions 527 to 1041 of the family's 1533-position model. The record is from RNAcentral.
GGAGGGUGCAAGCGUUAAUCGGAAUUACUGGGCGUAAAGCGCACGCAGGCGGUCUGUCAAGUCGGAUGUGAAAUCCCCGGGCUUAACCUGGGAACUGCAUUCGAAACUGGCAGGCUAGAGUCUUGUAGAGGGGGGUAGAAUUCCAGGUGUAGCGGUGAAAUGCGUAGAGAUCUGGAGGAAUACCGGUGGCGAAGGCGGCCCCCUGGACAAAGACUGACGCUCAGGUGCGAAAGCGUGGGGAGCAAACAGGAUUAGAUACCCUGGUAGUCCACGCUGUAAACGAUGAAUGUUAAAUAUGGGGAGUUUACUUUCUGUAUUACAGCUAACGCGUUAAACAUUCCGCCUGGGGACUACGGUCGCAAGAUUAAAACUCAAAGGAAUUGACGGGGACCCGCACAAGCGGUGGAGCAUGUGGUUUAAUUCGAUGCAACGCGAAAAACCUUACCACUCCUUGACAUGGAAAUUAUACCUAUUCGAAGGGAUAGGGUCGGUUCGGCCGGGUUUCACACAGGUGU